UACAGAGGGUGCGAACGUUGUUCGGAAUCACUGGGCAUAAAGCGUACGUAGGCGGCACCGCAAGUGUGGGGUGAAAUCCCACGGCUUACCCGUGGAACUGCCUGGCAGACUGCGGUGCUAGAGGUUGGUAGGGGAGAGCGGAACUCUUGGUGGAGCGGUGAAAUGCGUAGAUAUCAAGAGGAACACCGGUGGCGAAGGCGGCUCUCUGGUCCAAUCCUGACGCUGAGGUGCGAAAGCUAGGGGAGCAAACGGG
This 253-nucleotide ribosomal RNA is filed under the name uncultured bacterium. RNAcentral describes it as "partial 16S ribosomal RNA". It matches the Rfam family "Bacterial small subunit ribosomal RNA", at positions 524 to 776 of the family's 1533-position model. The record is from RNAcentral.